AACGAACGCUGGCGGCAUGCCUAACACAUGCAAGUCGAACGGGAUCCUAGCUUGCUAGGUGAGAGUGGCGGACGGGUGAGUAACACGUGGGAAUCUGCCUUUUGGUUCGGGAUAACCGCGGGAAACUGCGGCUAAUACCGAAUGCCCUCGAGAGAGGAAAGAUUUUAAUCGCCCAGAAGAGGAGCCCGCGUCCGAUUAGGUAGUUGGUGGGGUAAAGGCCUACCAAGCCGACGAUCGGUAGCUGGUCUGAGAGGAUGAUCAGCCACACUGGGACUGAGAUACGGCCCAGACUCCUACGGGAGGCAGCAGUGGGGAAUAUUGGACAAUGGGGGCAACCUGAUCCAGCAAUGCCGCGUGAGUGAUGAAGG
RNAcentral lists this ribosomal RNA (368 nucleotides) under uncultured bacterium. RNAcentral describes it as "bacterial SSU rRNA". It matches the Rfam family "Bacterial small subunit ribosomal RNA", at positions 29 to 414 of the family's 1533-position model. The record is from RNAcentral.